RNAcentral lists this ribosomal RNA (468 nucleotides) under uncultured bacterium. Its description in RNAcentral is "partial 16S ribosomal RNA". It matches the Rfam family "Bacterial small subunit ribosomal RNA", at positions 28 to 507 of the family's 1533-position model. The record is from RNAcentral.
GACGAACGCUGGCGGCGUGCUUAACACAUGCAAGUCGAACGGACAGGCCCUGCUUUUGUGGGGUGCUCGAGUGGCGAACGGGUGAGUAACACGUGAGUAACCUGCCCUUGACUUUGGGAUAACUUCAGGAAACUGGGGCUAAUACCGGAUAGGAGCUCCUGCUGCAUGGUGGGGGUUGGAAAGUUUCGGCGGUUGGGGAUGGACUCGCGGCUUAUCAGCUUGUUGGUGGGGUAGUGGCUUACCAAGGCUUUGACGGGUAGCCGGCCUGGGAGGGUGACCGGCGCCAUUGGUACUGAGGGAGGCAGCAGUCGCCAACGGGAGGCAGCGGGGGGAAAUAUUACAGAGUGAGGGGGAGCGAGAGGCGGAGGCGCCGGGUGCGGAAAACCGGCUUUCGGGUGAAGAACAGCUUUCUCCGGUGCCAAGCCGGGCUUGACGGUAAUGGAUAAAAAAGCACCGGCUAACUACGUG